CAGUAGCCGCGGUAAUGCGUAGGGUGCGAGCGUUAAUCGGAAUUACUGGGCGUAAAGCGUGCGCAGGCGGUUGUGUAAGACAGGUGUGAAAUCCCCGGGCUUAACCUGGGAACUGCGCUUGUGACUGCACAGCUAGAGUAUGGCAGAGGGGGGUGGAAUUCCACGUGUAGCAGUGAAAUGCGUAGAGAUGUGGAGGAACACCGAUGGCGAAGGCAGCCCCCUGGGCCAAUACUGACGCUCAUGCACGAAAGCGUGGGGAGCAAACAGGAUUAGAUACCCCCGUAGUCCCUGUCUCUUAUAC
RNAcentral lists this ribosomal RNA (301 nucleotides) under uncultured bacterium. RNAcentral's name for it is "partial 16S ribosomal RNA". It matches the Rfam family "Bacterial small subunit ribosomal RNA", at positions 509 to 807 of the family's 1533-position model. The record is from RNAcentral.